AGGAAGUAAAAGUCGUAACAAGGUUUCCGUAGGUGAACCUGCGGAAGGAUCAUUAAUGAAAUCGAACGUUCGGGUUGUUGCUGGUCUCUCUCUCUCUCUCUCUUUGGAGAAGGGGGGGGGGUUAUAACGUGCACGCCUCGAUUGUUGUUGUUCCAUCUUUCUUUUACACCUGUGCACGAUCUGUAGUUAGGGAUGAUCACGGGGCCGGCUUUGUCGGCGUCGAAUGCCCUGGCUAUGAACGGUUUAUUAUACACCUUGAUUUUGUUUUCAUGGAAUGUUUGUCCGCGUCGUAAACGGCGCGAAUGAGAUACAACUUUCAGCAACGGAUCUCUUGGCUCUCGCAUCGAUGAAGAACGCAGCGAAAUGCGAUAAGUAAUGUGAAUUGCAGAAUUCAGUGAAUCAUCGAAUCUUUGAACGCACCUUGCGCCCCUUGGUAUUCCGAGGGGCAUGCCUGUUUGAGUGUCAUGAAAUUCUCAACUCGCUUCGGUUUUGUUUCGGAGUGAAGUUGGAUUUGGAGUGUUUGCUGGCCCUGUUCGGCUCCUCUCAAAAGCAUGUGUAGCUCUUUUUUCUUGGCGGGAAAGUAUCUUUGACGUGAUAAUAAUUGUCUACGUCGUGGAGAAAGCCUUGAAUGGGGGAGAGCAUGAAGGGCGAGACCCGACUUUUAUAUUCGACCUCAAAUCAGGCAGGACUACCCGCUGAACUUAAGCAUAUCAA
RNAcentral lists this ribosomal RNA (714 nucleotides) under Hydnellum piperatum. RNAcentral describes it as "eukaryotic LSU rRNA". The stretch from base 312 to 465 matches the Rfam family "5.8S ribosomal RNA". Lineage: Eukaryota; Fungi; Basidiomycota; Agaricomycetes; Thelephorales; Thelephoraceae. The record is from RNAcentral.